RNAcentral lists this ribosomal RNA (252 nucleotides) under uncultured bacterium. RNAcentral describes it as "partial 16S ribosomal RNA". It matches the Rfam family "Bacterial small subunit ribosomal RNA", at positions 524 to 777 of the family's 1533-position model. The record is from RNAcentral.
UACGUAGGGUGCGAGCGUUAAUCGGAAUUACUGGGCGUAAAGCGUGCGCAGGCGGUUCGUUGUGUCGGUGGUGAAAUCCCCGGGCUUAACCUGGGAAUGGCCAUGGAAACUGGCGAACUGGAGUGCGGCAGAGGGGGGUGGAAUUCCUGGUGUAGCGGUGGAAUGCGCAGAUAUCAGGAGGAACACCAAUAGCGAAGGCAGCUCGCUGGGACGGUACUGACGCUAAGGCGAAAGCGUGGGGAGCGAACAGGA